UGGGGAAUAUUGGACAAUGGGGGAAACCCUGAUCCAGCAAUGCCGCGUGAGUGAAGAAGGCCUUAGGGUUGUAAAGCUCUUUCGCCCGCGAAGAUAAUGACGGUAGCGGGAGAAGAAGCCCCGGCUAACUCCGUGCCAGCAGCCGCGGUAAUACGGCGGGGGCUAGCGUUGUUCGGAAUUACUGGGCGUAAAGCGUACGUAGGCGGAUGCGCAAGUUGGGGGUGAAAUCCCGGGGCUUAACUUCGGAAUUGCCCUCAAAACUGCACGUCUUGAGACCGAGAGAGGUAAGGGGAAUUCCUAGUGUAGAGGUGAAAUUCGUAGAUAUUAGGAAGAACACCAGUGGCGAAGGCGCCUUACUGGCUCGGUACUGACGCUGAGGUACGAAAGCGUGGGGAGCAAACA
This 402-nucleotide ribosomal RNA is filed under the name uncultured bacterium. Its description in RNAcentral is "bacterial SSU rRNA". It matches the Rfam family "Bacterial small subunit ribosomal RNA", at positions 355 to 774 of the family's 1533-position model. The record is from RNAcentral.